Molecule: ribosomal RNA, 495 nt
Filed under: uncultured bacterium
Lineage: Bacteria
Description: partial 16S ribosomal RNA
Rfam family: Bacterial small subunit ribosomal RNA
Source: RNAcentral
GACGAACGCUGGCGGCGUGCCUAAUACAUGCAAGUAGAACGCUGAAGGAGGAGCUUGCUUCUCUGGAUGAGUUGCGAACGGGUGAGUAACGCGUAGGUAACCUGCCUGGUAGCGGGGGAUAACUAUUGGAAACGAUAGCUAAUACCGCAUAAGAGUAGAUGUUGCAUGACAUUUGCUUAAAAGGUGCAAUUGCAUCACUACCAGAUGGACCUGCGUUGUAUUAGCUAGUUGGUGGGGUAACGGCUCACCAAGGCGACGAUACAUAGCCGACCUGAGAGGGUGAUCGGCCACACUGGGACGGAGACACGGCCCAGACUCCUACGGGAGGCAGCAGUAGGGAAUCUUCGGCAAUGGACGGAAGUCUGACCGAGCAACGCCGCGUGAGUGAAGAAGGUUGUCGGAUCGUAAAGCUCUGUUGUAAGAGAAGAACGAGUGUGAGAGUGGAAAGUUCACACUGUGACGGUAUCUUACCAGAAAGGGACGGCUAACUACGUG